RNAcentral lists this ribosomal RNA (253 nucleotides) under uncultured prokaryote. RNAcentral's name for it is "partial 16S ribosomal RNA". It matches the Rfam family "Bacterial small subunit ribosomal RNA", at positions 524 to 776 of the family's 1533-position model. The record is from RNAcentral.
UACAGAGGUCCCGAGCGUUGUUCGGAUUCAUUGGGCGUAAAGGGCGCGUAGGCGGCGGGGUAAGUCGGGUGUGAAAUCUCAGAGCUCAACUCUGAAACUGCACCCGAUACUGCUCUGCUUGAGGACUGGAGAGGAGACUGGAAUUCACGGUGUAGCAGUGAAAUGCGUAGAGAUCGGGAAGAAGGCCGGUGGCGAAGGCGGCUCUCUGGAACGUUCCUGACACUGAGGCACGAAAGCGUGGGGAGCAAACAGG